UUUUAGUUAAAUCAUUCUCUGAGCUGUCUGCAUUUGGAUGUCAUGGUCUGGGUCUGCCCUACCAGCUUUUUUCAUCACCUAGUAGGCACAUAAUAGGUACAUUCAAUAUGUUUACUGAAUGAAUCAAUAGAGGUAAGAAGAAACGAGCCAGAAUCCAGUCUGUCCAUUUGGAAUCUAUCAAGAAUGAGGAAUAUAAAGCUCAGAAAAGUUCAAUAACUUGCCCAGGAUCACACAGCAAGUAAAGGUGAAGACUAGAUUUAAAUACAAGCCAAUUCUGACCUUUAACCUUUAUGCUUGACUGCCAAUCAGUGGCUGAGAAUUCUGGCCCCAGCUAAACAAAAGUUACACACUCAUCCUGCCAGCAUCCAACCCAAAAGCUGGUAGCUUCUCUUCUGCUUGUCUCUCAUGCUACUGCUGUUGUAGCAUCUAUGAUUGCUGUGCUGAGCCCUCAAGAACAUGGAGCAGAAGCAGGAUAAAAAUCUUCUGAUCUCUAGUCAGAAUCAUGUCAGCCAAGUCAAUCUAUUCUUCAUAAACCAAGAGUAAUCAUAGUCACAAACGUUGCAAUAAUAAAAAUGCCUUAUUAGUACAUAGAA
This 593-nucleotide long non-coding RNA is filed under the name Homo sapiens (human). Its description in RNAcentral is "HSALNT0291265". The record is from RNAcentral. Lineage: Eukaryota; Metazoa; Chordata; Mammalia; Primates; Hominidae.